Molecule: non-coding RNA, 92 nt
Organism: Mycena polygramma
Lineage: Eukaryota; Fungi; Basidiomycota; Agaricomycetes; Agaricales; Mycenaceae
Source: the annotation of a GenBank genome assembly
GGUUGCGUCGUGUAAUGGUUACACAUCUACUGAUAAUGAACGGCGACAUGAUUUUGUUGUAGAUGAAGUGGGUUCGAAUCCCGCCGCAGCCU